Molecule: ribosomal RNA, 1000 nt
Filed under: Pseudomonas aeruginosa
Lineage: Bacteria; Pseudomonadati; Pseudomonadota; Gammaproteobacteria; Pseudomonadales; Pseudomonadaceae
Description: bacterial SSU rRNA
Rfam family: Bacterial small subunit ribosomal RNA
Source: RNAcentral
CGGUUGGGGGGCAGCUACACAUGCAGUCGAGCGGAUGAAGGGAGCUUGCUCCUGGAUUCAGCGGCGGACGGGUGAGUAAUGCCUAGGAAUCUGCCUGGUAGUGGGGGAUAACGUCCGGAAACGGGCGCUAAUACCGCAUACGUCCUGAGGGAGAAAGUGGGGGAUCUUCGGACCUCACGCUAUCAGAUGAGCCUAGGUCGGAUUAGCUAGUUGGUGGGGUAAAGGCCUACCAAGGCGACGAUCCGUAACUGGUCUGAGAGGAUGAUCAGUCACACUGGAACUGAGACACGGUCCAGACUCCUACGGGAGGCAGCAGUGGGGAAUAUUGGACAAUGGGCGAAAGCCUGAUCCAGCCAUGCCGCGUGUGUGAAGAAGGUCUUCGGAUUGUAAAGCACUUUAAGUUGGGAGGAAGGGCAGUAAGUUAAUACCUUGCUGUUUUGACGUUACCAACAGAAUAAGCACCGGCUAACUUCGUGCCAGCAGCCGCGGUAAUACGAAGGGUGCAAGCGUUAAUCGGAAUUACUGGGCGUAAAGCGCGCGUAGGUGGUUCAGCAAGUUGGAUGUGAAAUCCCCGGGCUCAACCUGGGAACUGCAUCCAAAACUACUGAGCUAGAGUACGGUAGAGGGUGGUGGAAUUUCCUGUGUAGCGGUGAAAUGCGUAGAUAUAGGAAGGAACACCAGUGGCGAAGGCGACCACCUGGACUGAUACUGACACUGAGGUGCGAAAGCGUGGGGAGCAAACAGGAUUAGAUACCCUGGUAGUCCACGCCGUACACGAUGUCGACUAGCCAUUGGGAUCCUUGAGAUCUUACUGGCGCAGCUAACGCGAUAAGUCGACCGCCUGGGGAGUACGGCCGCGAGGUUAAAACUCAAAUGAAUUGACUGGGGCGCGGCACAAGCCGGUGGAGCAUGUGGUUGUAAUUCUAAGUCAUCACGAAAGAGCCUUACCUGGCCUUUGACAUGCUGCAGGACUUUCCAGUAGAUGGAUUGGUGACCGUGU